RNAcentral lists this ribosomal RNA (253 nucleotides) under uncultured bacterium. RNAcentral's name for it is "partial 16S ribosomal RNA". It matches the Rfam family "Bacterial small subunit ribosomal RNA", at positions 524 to 776 of the family's 1533-position model. The record is from RNAcentral.
UACGAAGGGUGCAAGCGUUAAUCGGAAUUACUGGGCGUAAAGCGUGCGUAGACGGUAGCGUAAGUCAGAUGUGAAAGCCCCGGGCUCAACCUGGGAAUUGCAUUUGAGACUGCUCUGCUCGGGUGCGGAAGAGGGAAGCGGAAUUUCCGGUGUAGCGGUGAAAUGCGUAGAUAUCGGAAGGAACACCAGUGGCGAAAGCGGCUUCCUGGUCCGACACCGACGUUCAGGCACGAAAGCGUGGGGAGCAAACAGG